RNAcentral lists this ribosomal RNA (497 nucleotides) under uncultured bacterium. Its description in RNAcentral is "partial 16S ribosomal RNA". It matches the Rfam family "Bacterial small subunit ribosomal RNA", at positions 28 to 507 of the family's 1533-position model. The record is from RNAcentral.
GAUGAACGCUGGCGGCGUGCCUAAUACAUGCAAGUCGAGCGAACGGACGAGAAGCUUGCUUCUCUGAUGUUAGCGGCGGACGGGUGAGUAACACGUGGAUAACCUACCUAUAAGACUGGGAUAACUUCGGGAAACCGGAGCUAAUACCGGAUGAUAUUUUGAACCGCAUGGUUCAAAAGUGAAAGACGGUCUUGCUGUCACUUAUAGAUGGAUCCGCGCUGCAUUAGCUAGUUGGUAAGGUAAUGGCUUACCAAGGCAACGAUGCAUAGCCGACCUGAGAGGGUGAUCGGCCACACUGGAACUGAGACACGGUCCAGACUCCUACGGGGGGCAGCAGUAGGGAAUCUUCCGCAAUGGGCGAAAGCCUGACGGAGCAACGCCGCGUGAGUGAUGAAGGUCUUCGGAUCGUAAAACUCUGUUAUUAGGGAAGAACAUAUGUGUAAGUAACUGUGCACAUCUUGACGGUACCUAAUCAGAAAGCCACGGCUAACUACGUG